CCUACGGGAGGCAGCAGUGGGGAAUAUUGCACAAUGGGGGAAACCCUGAUGCAGCGACGCCGCGUGAGUGAAGAAGUAUCUCGGUAUGUAAAGCUCUAUCAGCAGGGAAGAAAAUGACGGUACCUGAUUAAGAAUCACCGGCUAACUACGUUCCAGCAGCCGCGGUAAUACGGAGGAGGCAAGCGUUAUCCGGAUGUACUGGGUGUAAAGGGGGCGUAGGCGGCCGCGCAAGUCUGAGGUGAAAUGCCGGGGCUCAACCCCGGAACUGCUUCGGAAACUGGGCAGCUAGGGUGUAGGUGCGGUAGGGGGAAUGCAUGGUGUAGCGGGGAAAUGCUUAGAGAUCAGACAGAACACCGAGGGCGAAGGCAGCUUACCAAGCUACUUCUGACGUUGAGGCACGAAGGCGGGGGGAGAAAACAGGAUUAGAGACCCCGGUAGUC
This 440-nucleotide ribosomal RNA is filed under the name uncultured bacterium. RNAcentral's name for it is "partial 16S ribosomal RNA". It matches the Rfam family "Bacterial small subunit ribosomal RNA", at positions 338 to 795 of the family's 1533-position model. The record is from RNAcentral.